AAUAUUGCACAAGGGGGGAAACCCUGAUGCAGCGACGCCGCGUGAGUGAAGAAGUAUUUCGGUAUGAAAAGCUCUAGCAGAAGGGACGAAAAUGACGGUACCUGACUAAGAAGCACCGGCUAACAACGCGCCAGCAGCCGCGGUAAUACGUAGGGGGCAAGCGUUGUCCGGAUUUACUGGGUGUAAAGGGAGCGUAGGUGGCGAGGCAAGUCAGAUGUGAAAGCCCGGGGCUCAACCCCGGGAUUGCAUUUGAAACUGGUUUGCUAGAGUGCAGGAGAGGUAAGUGGAAUUCCUAGUGUAGCGGUGAAAUGCGUAGAUAUUAGGAGGAACGCCAGUGGCGAAGGCGGCUUACUGGACUGUAACUGACACUGAGGCUCGAAAGCGUGGAGAGCAAACA
Molecule: ribosomal RNA, 397 nt
Filed under: uncultured bacterium
Lineage: Bacteria
Description: partial 16S ribosomal RNA
Rfam family: Bacterial small subunit ribosomal RNA
Source: RNAcentral